GCCACAGACCCAGAGUAAGCGAAGAAAUCU
RNAcentral lists this non-coding RNA (30 nucleotides) under Rattus norvegicus (Norway rat). Lineage: Eukaryota; Metazoa; Chordata; Mammalia; Rodentia; Muridae. The record is from RNAcentral.